RNAcentral lists this ribosomal RNA (460 nucleotides) under uncultured bacterium. RNAcentral's name for it is "partial 16S ribosomal RNA". It matches the Rfam family "Bacterial small subunit ribosomal RNA", at positions 338 to 795 of the family's 1533-position model. The record is from RNAcentral.
CCUACGGGAGGCAGCAGUGAGGAAUAUUGGUCAAUGGGCGCGAGCCUGAACCAGCCAAGUAGCGUGAAGGAUGACUGCCCUACGGGUUGUAAACUUCUUUUAUUAAGGAAUAAAGUGAGGCACCUGUGCCUUUUUGUCUGUCUUUUAUGAAUAAGGCUCGGCUAACUCCGUGCCAGCAGCCGCGGUAAUACGGAAGGUCCGGGCGUUAUCCGGAUUUAUUGGGUGUAAAGGGAGCGUAGGCGGGUCUUUAAGCGGGCCGUGAAACUUUGGGGCUCAACCAUGAGAGUGCGGCGCGAACUGGAGAUCUUGAGUGCGCGGAAGGCAGGCGGAAUUCGUGGUGUAGCGGUGAAAUGCUUAGAUAUCACGAAGAACCCCGAUUGCGAAGGCAGCCUGCCGCAGCGUUACUGACGCUGAAGCGCGAAAGCGCGGGUAUCGAACAGGAUUAGAUACCCGAGUAGUC